AGUGAACGCUGGCGGCAUGCCUAACACAUGCAAGUCGAACGGCAGCACAGUAAGUGCUUGCUCUCACGGGUGGCGAGUGGCGGACGGGGCACGUAUACAUCGGAAUCUACUCUUUCGUGGGGGCUAACGUAGGGAAAUGUACUCUAAUACCGCAUACGUCCUACGGGUGUAAGCAGGCGAUCUUCUGACCUUGUGCGAUUGAAUGAGCCGAUGUCGGAUUAGCUAGUUGGCUGGGCAAAGGCCCACCACGGCGACGAUCCGUAGCUGGUCUGAGAGGAGGAUCAGCCACGCUGGAACUGAAGGACGGUCCAGACUCCUGAGAGAGGCAGCAGUGGGAAAUAUUGGACAAUGGGAGCAAGCCUGAUCAAGCGAUACCGCGUGGGUGAAGAAGGCCGUCGGGUUGUGAAGGCCUUUUGUUGGGAAAGAAAAGAAGGCGGUUAAACCCGCGCUGUUAUGACGGUACCCGGAGAAUAAGCACCGGCUAACUUCGUG
Molecule: ribosomal RNA, 492 nt
Filed under: uncultured bacterium
Lineage: Bacteria
Description: partial 16S ribosomal RNA
Rfam family: Bacterial small subunit ribosomal RNA
Source: RNAcentral